RNAcentral lists this ribosomal RNA (1866 nucleotides) under Triticum aestivum (bread wheat). RNAcentral describes it as "partial small subunit ribosomal RNA". The record is from RNAcentral. Lineage: Eukaryota; Viridiplantae; Streptophyta; Magnoliopsida; Poales; Poaceae.
AUGGCAGAUUCAGGAGCUGAUGGGGGUGGUGAUGCUUAUGAUCCAAUGAAAGAUCCAGAACGCAGGCCACGGAGGUCAAAUGAUCCAGGCUGGAAUUAUGGGUAUUGGUUGACACCUGGCAACAGCAAUAAUGUUGUGUGCAAUCUUUGUGGCAAGAUAACUAAAGGAGGGAUCAAGAGACACAAAGAGCAUCUUGCUGGCACCGGUGGGGAUGCAACGGGUUGUCCAAAGGCUACCACACAGCUUAGGAGGGAGAUGUUAGAAUAUUUGGAAAAGAACAGGAGAAACAUAGGACAGCCAGAUGAUGAUGAUGAUGUAGUGGAGGUAGAUGUAGCAGGGACAGUUCAAAGCUCCACUAAUGAAGCAACAGCUCAAUGCUUCGCUACAAGACCAAGUUCAGGGACAGCAGCCAAGAACAAGAAAGCCUUUGCAGUAAAAAUAUCAGGCAAAAAGUGUCAAUCUGUUGCUCUCAAGUCAAUUGUUUCCAUGCUUAGGAAGAAACCUGAGGAUGUUGUCGAUGAAAGACGCUCCGGUUGCUCUCAAAGCACCAUGGAGUCCAGCACAAAAACACCGGAAGAGAGGCACUAUGUGAGUAUGCAGUGGGCAUUGUUUUUCUAUGAGUGUGGCAUUCCUUUCAAUGUUGCAAGCUGUAGGCAAUUCCAGAUUGCAAUAGAAGCCUCUUGUCAAUAUGGCCCAGGUUACAAGCCUCCUUCUCCUCAUGAGCUGCGAGAGCCAUUGCUUAGGGAUUGUGUCAAGGAAACAAAAAAGUUGAGGGUGAAGCACGAGGUAGCAUGGAAGCAAUAUGGCUGCACACUAAUGUCAGAUGGCUGGUCCGAUAAAAGGGGACGCCACUUGAUCAACUUCCUUGUAAACAGCCCGGCGGGCACUUACUUCUUGGAGUCGGUUGAUGCAUCAAGUGAAUGCCAAGAUGCUCGGAUGAUAGCAGAUUUGCUAGAGAAGAGAAUCGAGGAUGUCGGUAAAGAGUAUGUUGUCCAAGUUGUCACCGACAAUGGUGCUAACUACAAGGCAGCGGGUAAGAUACUAAUGGAAAGGAUUCCUACACUAUAUUGGAGUCCAUGUGCAUGCCAUUGCUUGGACCUGAUGUUGGAAGAUAUAGGGAAGCUAAAGCCAUUUAAGAGGCCUAUUGCACGGGGUAGACGAGUCACCACUUUCAUCUAUAGGCAUGGCAGAAUUCUUAGUCUAAUGAGGAAGGCAACGGGUGGGCUGGAUCUUGUGAGACCCGCAGCCACUCGCUUUGCCACAUCCAUUCUUGCUCUUAAGAGUUUGGUCAAGCACAAGCAAGCAUUGAGGAGUCUAUUUACAUGUCAAGCAUGGGUUGGAAACAAAUUGGCCAAAACUGCAGCCGGUUUGAAUGUGCAAGACAUUGUGCUUUCAGCAGAUUGGUGGCAUGCAAUUGAGGACUGCCUUAGAGCUUCAGGUCCACUACUUCGAGUGCUUAGGGUAGCGGAUGGUGAUGAGAUUCCUGCCAUGCCAGAAAUGACAGCACUAAUGAGGUUUGCAAAGGAGAAGAUCAAUCAAGGUUUCCCCCACCAAAACAAGCAAGCUUUGCUCAAGAAGAUCAUUGACAUUGUUGACAAACGUUGGGAGAAUCAAAUGGAUCAUCCAUUAUAUGGGGCUGCUUUGUUUUUGAACCCUGGAAAAUACUUCUCUAUUGCUGAGAGUGGUGAUGAUGCCCUAAUUGGGGAGCUAAGAAGUUGUUUUAAUGAUGUCCUUGCACGAACAGUACUUGAUGUCAAUACUCGCAACAAGAUUGAUGCACAAGCCGUUCUCUAUGAGGACAAGAGAGGACCCUUUGCUAAUCCGAUGGCAAUCGAUAACAUGGUCCAGAAAAACCCUCGUAAGUGA